This 17906-nucleotide long non-coding RNA is filed under the name Citrus x clementina. RNAcentral describes it as "Citrus clementina (C. clementina) long non-coding RNA (CCLE_LNC006822)". The record is from RNAcentral. Lineage: Eukaryota; Viridiplantae; Streptophyta; Magnoliopsida; Sapindales; Rutaceae.
GUUCCUCCACGUUAUGUUCGCGCUGAGAUAGACCAUCCCCUGAUUCGCAACGACGAUUCUUCAACACGACAACUUCCAGUCAUUGACAUGCACAGGCUGCUCUCUGGGGAUGACUCAGAGCUUGAGAAGCUUGAGCAUGCAUGUAAAGACUGGGGUUUCUUUCAGGUACAUAAUAAUUGAGCAGUGAUAUUCAGAUAAUAAAAAUACUUGAUCGCAAAUCAUUGCUUUUGUUAGCGUUCUUUCGGCUCUCGGUGUUUUUAGCAUUUUCCAUAAAAAUCAUUUUAUUUCCUGAGCUUUAAGUUUCCUAUAAGAACCAUGUAUGGAAAGAACAGCUUGUUUUAAUCUGCAUAUAUGCAGUUGAUGAAUCAUGGAGUGAGCAGUUCAUUGGUGGAGAAAGUGAAAGAAGGAUUCAAGACUUCUUUAAUCUUCCAAUUGAUGAGAAAAAGAAAUUUUGGCAGCAGCCAGGGGAUAUUGAGGGAUUUGGGCAGCUUUUUAUUACGUCUGAGGAGCAGAAGCUUGAUUGGGGAUACGGCUUUACUAUGUUCACUCUCCCAACCCAUCUGAAGAAACCCCACUUGUUCCCCAAGUUGCCUCUCCCAUNNNNNNNNNNNNNNNNNNNNNNNNNNNNNNNNNNNNNNNNNNNNNNNNNNNNNNNNNNNNNNNNNNNNNNNNNNNNNNNNNNNNNNNNNNNNNNNNNNNNNNNNNNNNNNNNNNNNNNNNNNNNNNNNNNNNNNNNNNNNNNNNNNNNNNNNNNNNNNNNNNNNNNNNNNNNNNNNNNNNNNNNNNNNNNNNNNNNNNNNNNNNNNNNNNNNNNNNNNNNNNNNNNNNNNNNNNNNNNNNNNNNNNNNNNNNNNNNNNNNNNNNNNNNNNNNNNNNNNNNNNNNNNNNNNNNNNNNNNNNNNNNNNNNNNNNNNNNNNNNNNNNNNNNNNNNNNNNNNNNNNNNNNNNNNNNNNNNNNNNNNNNNNNNNNNNNNNNNNNNNNNNNNNNNNNNNNNNNNNNNNNNNNNNNNNNNNNNNNNNNNNNNNNNNNNNNNNNNNNNNNNNNNNNNNNNNNNNNNNNNNNNNNNNNNNNNNNNNNNNNNNNNNNNNNNNNNNNNNNNNNNNNNNNNNNNNNNNNNNNNNNNNNNNNNNNNNNNNNNNNNNNNNNNNNNNNNNNNNNNNNNNNNNNNNNNNNNNNNNNNNNNNNNNNNNNNNNNNNNNNNNNNNNACACGUCGCUUGCAUAAAAGCUAAGCUGUUAGCAUAGGAUAUGUAGUUGAUGACUAGUUUCAUCUAAUUUUUUCCUCCUCUUGAUUAUACUCUCUAACUUUUUUUUUUUUUAGGUUCAAUUUAUGAUCCUGUAGAUUUUUAGCAAUGGAACUUAUCGUGAUAUUGAACAUCGUGUGACUGUAAACUUAAUGAAGGAAAGGUUAUCUUUCACUACAUUUUACAACCUAAAAUUAGAUGGAGAAUUGGGUCUAGCACCAAGUCUUAUGAAAUUUCCAUGCGGAUACACUUUAAAACCACAUGGUUUAAAAGAAUUAGUUUUUAAAUCUUUUAAAACUCACAGUUUUAUAGUUCAUUCACAAACUAUUUUUUUUUAAAUCACACAGUUUAAAAUUGUGACCGCAUUAAUAAAAAUGCGGGCGUCCGCACCUGAGAAUAAAUUUUAUUGAAUAUUGAUAAAUUAAAAAAUAAAGUCGUGAAACAUAUACUAAGGUGACGUUUGUUUUUUAACUUAAUGACUUAAAGUGACUUAACUUAAUUAAUUAAGUUAAUUAGAUGUGUUUGUUUUUAUAACUUAAUGAGACUUUUUAGAUAAUUUUGACUUAAUAAAAUAAGCUAAUUUUUUUGGGUUUUUACUUAAUGGAGAAAUUUGAAUUAAGUCAAUUACUUGCUAAUGUCAAAAAUAUCCCUGUUUUAUAAUUUAUUUUUCACGUCUAUCCCAAAACUCACCCAUAGAUAUUUACCCCACAUAAAAAUAUCUCUGUUUUUUCUUUCUUAUAUUAUAUACGAUAAAAUUUGAAAUUUAUGGUAUUUUAUAUAUUAAAAUUCUAAAAUAAUUAUGUAUUCACUUGAAUAUAGUUUUACUUAUAAAUGUUAAAAUAUUGUGGUAUUUAAUAUAUUAUUUAUUUGACAUUCAAAUUUAAUAAGGAUACAAAUGUAAAAGUACAUAUUUUCAGCUUUUUAAGUUGAAAAAAACAAACAACUUAAUACUUAUUUUUUGAGAUUCAGACAAAAAAAUAAACAUAUUAUUCAUAUUCAGACAUUCAGACUAAUUCAGAUCUAUUCAGAUUUCAGACAAAAAAACAAACGCCACCUAAGUGUUGAUCUUGUAGCAAUGAUAUUUGCAGUAUUGGAGAAUUAUUGAUGGAAUAUAAAAACAAAAGAAGAAGAAUUGGGGUAGAGAUCGUGCAUAAAGAAAAAAAAACGCACACACACACACGUGGUACUGAAUUUUUUUUAUUUUAUUUCUUAAUAAUUAAGGAUAAUUUUUUUUUAUGUCAUAAUAUAUUUAAAAUUAUUUAAGUAUAAAAUUUGUUCUCAAAAUUAAAGUUAUCAAUAAUUUUAAGAAAAUUACCAAACAAAAUUAAAUUUUAAUAUUUUAAAAUUACUUUUGAGUAAAAUAGUAAUCUUAAAUGAGCCCUUAUUCAAUUACCAGGAUAAAACGAAAAUGAAUUUAAAUUUAAAGGACUUAAAUUAUAAUGCAGUUUAAAAAGUCACGGUCCCCUUCUAAAAUUCGUGAUUUCUACCAACGAUGCGGACCGAUCAACUAUGAAAUAUCCCAAUAGUUUCGUAACUUCUAUGAUUGGGCACGCGAACUUGACAGGCAUUGUCAUUGUUGUAUAUUUGUCUAUAUUUAAUUUACGAUUUUACGACGUAACACUUGAAAAAAAAAAACAUAAAAUUGUGUACACAAGUUUGUGUGGUCAGCCUGGUUUUAUAUUUCAAAAUGCCAGUUUUGUGGGAUUAGUACCAAUCUAAAGAUAAACCACACAAUGUGACACUACAUGGAUAAGAAUACUAUUCUACUGUGAAAUCUUAGCUUACCUUAGCUUUAAUUGAACGAACGUUUGGGAUAGACAAAUGAUAUUUGAACACUAUAAUGGCAUUAGGAUAUAAUACAAGUGAUGGUAGGUUGCGUAAAUGAUCCGCAUCAUUUUAGUGUGCCACAAAAUUAUGAUUUAUUGAAUAAUAAUAUUAUAGAGUGAUGUUAUUUGUACCCUAAAUUUUAUUUUAAAGACUGUAAUUUUUAAUAAAAAUAUUAUUACAAAAACUCCUCCAAUAUCAUUUACUAAUAAAGACAAUUCAAUUUAAGUUAAUGGAAUAUGAUUACUCUUCACACCAUUGAACGCACAUUCAAUUCAAUAAUCCAAUUACAAAACCCUGUAACUUUCUUUAACAAUAAAUCUAAUUUAUCAUUCGUAAAAGAAAAUAUUAAGGGUUUAAUAAAUAACCAACAAGCUACCAACAACAGCAAUUGAAAAAAAAUUUUUAUUUAUGCGGAAAAAAUGAGAAACAUUAUUUUGAUUUAAAAAAUUAAAAAUAAAACUGUACGUUUCAAACCCCCAAAAAGAAAAAGGAAAAAUAAUAAGAAAUCAGCUGCAUAUUGCUGCUGCUUCAAAAUUAUCAAUUGGAAAUACAAACUUGACUCCAGUCUAUAACUCUCUGGUAAAAUGAAGAGACAUUUCUCUUUUGACGGAAGUUUAUUUCAUUCAAAGAGAUGAGGGUCAUUUUUUUUUUUCAAGAGAUUUGAAUAUCAUUAACAAUAAUAGAAUUACAUAGAAUAAAGUUCUUUAGUCAACAAAGAAUUAAAUUGGGUGAGACGUAAGAUAUAAAUGGAGGACUAUUUUGGUAUUUAAAAGAAUGUGCUCAAUAAAAUCAAUUUUUAAAAUUUAUUAAAUGAGAGAACGAGUGUACAGAAUAAAGUGAUACUGUAAAAUCUAGAUUUCAAAUAGCCCCAUAUUAAGUCAUGGUUUGUCUUUUUAUUUUAAUUUUGAAAUAGGUUUGAAUGUUACUGAAGUUUGAAUGGCUUUGAAUGCUUAAGCUAGAAUAAUAUGUUUGGUUUUUAUUUUUUGGCAUCUGAGUGUAAGUGGUAAGUUGUUUGUAUUUUUACACUUAUGACUAGCUUAAAUAGAUAUGUAUUCAUAGUGUUUUCUAGUACAAUAGUUUUUAUAUGUUAUAAAUAUUUACAAGAAAAAUAAUUGAUAUAUAAUUUAUGAAAAAUAAUUUUGGUAACAUUAAUUUUUACAAUUUAGCAUAAUAUUUAUACAUAAAAAAAGUUGUUAUCUAUUAAUAAAAGAUUUUUUUUUUUAAAUUCAAAUUGAAUGUAUGUUAAAUACUUAAUAUGUAGUAAAAUUUCUUAUCUAUUGCCGCUGGAAGAUGGUAUCUCUACUGGAAGUCUUACUGUUAGAAUAUUUCCAUUAAUCUUUCGAAGUUUUGUUGGGUAACUUGGCUUGAUGGCUAGAAUUUGAAUUGCUUUUCUUAGAUUUUAAUUGGGAUUUAACUAUUGUUUUAUAUUUUAGAUUUUUUUAUAUUUGGGAUGUUUUAUUAUGUAUUGGUGGUGACGACAUUGAAUACUAGAUGUAUUUGUUUUGAAAUUAAUUUGUUGGAUUGAAUGGAGGUUAAUUAAUAUUAAUUACUUUUAGUUUUUUUGAUGAUAUUCAUUUUUAUUAGUUAAUUAAAUUUGUAAUCAGGAAUUCACAAAUAAAUUAUAAUCACAAUAGAAUUUUUUUUAAAAAAAAUUGACUUUAUGAUGGGAAAUAAUGAUCAUAAUGUUUGUCAUAAAACAUUUUGAGCCAAAAUUCAAUAAUAAAUUUACAAAUGAUAAUUUAAUUUCCCACCAAAAAUUUAAAAAAAUAGCGCAAAAAUAUAUAUAAAUUCAAAUUUUAAUUUAAUUAUUUUUCACAUUAAGAUAUUGUGUGACGUAUAUAUAACUGUAAAAUACUAUCAUGAAUUCAUGAUGGAAAAUAUUUUGUCAUAAAUUAAUGACAGUGAAAUAGAUGACAGAUGAACUGUUUGUCAUGCACCCCCUUUUACAAUAGUUAUUUCUCGUCAUCUAUUACCUGUUUUCUUGUUGUGAAAAUAGAUAUAACUUUAAAUUAUCUUCUUUUUUUUUAAGUAUAUUUAAUAAUGUUUAGACAUGCCUUUUUCUCUUUAAAACAAGUAAAAUUGCAUAAAGUGAAAAAAGAACUCUAUAAAUUUGUUAUAUAAAAAAUAUGAUUAAAAUUCAUACUAAUACAUAACUGAGAUAAAAUAAAAAAGUAGUAUGUAUUACAUUCGUAUUAAACUUGAUGCAAUAAACACCAUAACUAUAAUAUAUAUAUAUAUAUAUAUAUAUAUAUAUAUAUAUAUAUAUAGAGAGAGAGAGAGAGAGAGAGAGAGAGAUUGAAUAUUAAAAACCAUGGUUAUAAAAUUAAUUUUAAAAGUUAUGGUUAAUUUUCAUGUGAAAUUGUUCAAAGUUAAAAAAAAAAAUUUGCAUAAUUAUAUACAUACGUUUUUUAAUCUUAUAAUAGAAAAUAAAAGUAAAAUAUAAAAAAAAAUACAAACUUACUAGGUCAAAACUUUGAUACUAGAGAGAAUAUAUAAUAGUUGUGUCGGUAAUUUGAUUGUGAUGGUAAUGUGAUAUCUAAUGGUUUAAUAUUAUGGUGUAUGAGAAAGUAAGACAAUUAUUUUUUUAAUUAAAAUAUUAAGGCUAUAAUAGGAACUUUAAAAAGGUAUGAUAGUUUAUUUAAUAAGCUGCUUAUGAAAAGUAACUCUCUACUUACUUUUAAAAGUUGUUGUCAAAAUGGAGAAAAUGAUUAAAUAAGCAACUUUUACAAAAUUUACCAAACAUUAUUUUUGUCACAAAUUACAAAAUAAGUUGCUUAUUGAGUUUCAACAUCAAUUCCAAACGGGGCAUAUAUUAUUAAGUCAGCACCAGUUAGUCAUUUAGGUGCAAUAAGCAGUCUCUAUUAGAAAAUUCUGGUACAAGUGGCAGAGGGAAAGAAGUAAUAGAGUAAUAGGAUUCUCAUAUAACUAAUUAUCACCACAUUAUUGAAGUCCAAAAAGCUAUUAAGCUAUAUGGCUUGAUAACUUUUCCGAACUUUAAUAAAUCCAUGUUUUAGAUUGGAAUGUGCGUAUAUAAUUCACCUUAAAUUUUAUUAAAUAUUUAAAAACACAUAUUAACCUAAGUGUUGAUCUUGAAACAAUAAUAUUUACAUUAUUACAGAAUUCUUGAUGGAAUGGAAAAUAGAAAGAAGAAGAAUUGGGGUAAAGAGCGUGCACGAAGAAAAAAAAAAGAAAAUCAAAAUAAUAACGAUCUUAAAUUUUCUAAUUUUAUUAGUUAACUAAUUAAAAAUAAUUUUGUUUUAUGAAAAUGUGUAACAAUAUAUGCGAAAUUAUGUUAAGUAUAAAAUUGAUUCUUAAAUUCAAAUUUUGUGGUGAUUUAAAAAAAAAUUAUCAAAAUUAAAUUUUUGAGUUAAAAAAUUAUCAAAAUUAAAAUUUUGAUUUAAAAAAAUAUCAAAAUUAAAAUUUUGAUUUAAAAAAAUUAUCAAAAUUAAAUUUUAACUUUUAUAAGUGACUUUAGAGUCUCAAUAGUAAAUCUUAAAUGAGUCCUUAGUCAAGAUGAAACAAAAACAAAUGUAAAUUAUUUUAAAAAGUCAGCGUGCCCCUUAAAUUUCGUAAUUUCUACCAACGACAAGGACCGAUCAACAAAAAAAAAAUCCCAAAAAUUUCGUAAUUUCAAGAUUGGGGACGUGAACUUGAUAGCGAUAGUUGUCCAUUUUGUCAUUGUUGUAUGCCUGUCUGUAUCUAUUUUACUACUGUAUGCUCAAUUCAAUAAUUAGGGUACACAAUUUUGUGUGGCCAGCCUGGUUUCAUCAUUCAAAAUGCCAAUUUAGUCGUAUUAGUACCAAUUCAAAAAUUAAUCACGCAAAUGCGAGAAGAGAUGGAUACGAAUACUAACCAAGUCGAUAACAAUCCUUUGGCAUUCUGAUCUUAUCUGAGCUUUAGUUAGGGGAGCGUUGACAGAGACAAAUGAUAUUUAAACACUAUAGUGACAUUAAGAUAUGACUGAAGUGAUAGUACUGCGUGCAAACAAACAGUACAUACCAUUUUGGUCUGCCAUAGUGUUAUUGUUCAAUGAACAAAACAUUAUGGGUGGAACGUUAUUGCAAAAGAUACGAAUACUAAGUGGAUAAAAAAGAAAUAAAACUGUAAGUUUUAUUGCAAAAGAUACGUUAUUGCAAAACAUUUAUUUUUAACAUUUAACAUUAUUUUGUUUUUAAAAAAUAAAAAAUAAAACUGUAAGUUCCGAUUAAAAAAAAUGAAAAAGAAAAACAAAUCAGUUGCUUAUUACUAUUGCUUGAAGAUUAUCAAUGAAGAACAUGAAUUGGAUUCUAAUAUAUAACUCUCUAGUAAAGAUAAGAGAAAAUUCUCUUUUUUUUAAAAAAAAAAAUAUAUUAUUUCAUUUAAAGACAUCACAGUGAUAUUUUGUUAAACAGAGACUUAAAUAUCUUGUUAACAAUAAUAGACUUAUUUAGAAUGAAGUUCUUUGAUAAAGAAUUAAAUUGGGUGAGAUAAUAAUCAUAUAUAAAUAAAAGACUGUUUUGGUAUAUAAAAGAACGUAUAGAAUAAAAAUUAAUUUUUAAAAUUUAUUAACUGAGUGUAAAAAAACAAAUGAUAUUCAAAAUUAAAUUUAGAGUGUAAAAAAUCGAAUGAUAUUCAAAAUUAAAUGUAGAGUGUAAAUAAUUCCAUUAUAAAAUUAAUUUUAUCGUGUUAAUGUUGCACUGAUUUGUGUCCUUUAAUAAAAGUCAAAAUUCUCUCGAAUUUUCAUGAUAAAAUUAAUAUUUCACUGCACCCAGUUACAGUACAGUACAUCUAGAGGACUAUUUAUAUAUGAGUUUCUUGUCAAAACACAAACUAGCUAAGUCUGCAGAAGAGUAGAAGAAAACAAAAAGGUGAUAGCUAGAAAUCAGUUAAUCUAAAUCUAUAUAACAUGGAGGCAAAAGCAACAGUUAUUGGGAAUUCUCUCGUGGAGCCUUCGAUUCUGGAGCUGGCAAAUAAUCUGCCACUGACAACUGUUCCGCCACGUUAUGUUCGCCCUGAGAUAGACCAUCCCUUGAUUCGCAACGACGAUUCUUCAGCACAACAACUUCCAGUCAUUGACAUGCACACGUUGCUCUCUGGGGAUGACUCAGAGCUUGAGAAGCUUGACUCUGAUACCAAUUGUUGGGAAAAAUUAUCUUUUGAAUUUUUAUAAAACCUUUUGAAGAUCGCUCUCAUAUAAUAUAUAAGAAUUUGUAUUCUAGAAAUCGUACCUUGAAAAUCCGAGUUGGCUUUUUCCGCUGAAGUGAUUUAGGCUCCUAGAUCACGAUCCGCCACCACCACUCCUGUUAGAUCACGAUCCGUCACCACCACGCUUGUUAGAUCACGAACUGUCACCAAUGAUCUUCCAGGUUAUGACUCAGGUUCGAUCUGCACUUGACGUGUGGGCGCCUUUAUCACUACCAAAGCAACUAGCACGAGAAAAUUUUUCUCUCAACAAUAGAGAGAAAAAUCUUAUUCUCCAAUUUGUAUAAAGUGGCUUCUCUCUUUUCCUUUAGAGAAAAUAAACCUUAUAUAUCUUCCUUUAGUGAAAACCCUAGGCUCCAAAUAAUUCAAAAAACAAAACCCACGUUAUUUUCUUUUUCAAUAGGGGACCCACCUUGUAAAAUAACAUAAGGCCCCUUAUACAAAAGCUAAUUAAAUGGAGCCUCCCACUAAAUGAUAUAUUUAGGCUUUUGACCCAAAUAGCUAGUUAUCUUACUUAUUAGUCCAGUAGUGGUGCAGUCAAUUAAAUGAGCUAACCCGGGGAUCAUUUGGGAACAUACAAUAGUGGCUACAAUAAUUAGGCCUUUAAUUAAACUAGCCCAAUUAUUUAAUUCCAAAUCUACUCCACUAAAAGAUUGGAACUGACUUCCAUAAUUGUAUGCUCGAAUAAUAAUUCGCCCCAAGCCACAUUGAUUUCUUUACUGCACAAUCCUUUGUACCACAUCGUUAAUUAAAUUGAUAUCUCAACUGUCCAAUCAAUUUAAUAACAUCUUAUUCCUUGAUCCUUACUGGUUUUCUCUAAUGAUCAUUUUCAACAUACUAAAUAUGUUGACACACUCUGGCCAGAGAAUUCUAUGAUCAAGUACCGAAAACCUAUCAAGAGAUGUGUUGUACAAAUUCUAUAUUGUUAAUCCAUAACUCCAAUACUCAUAAUUGCUCCCACCAAGAUACCGGGUAAUCUUGACCACAAGGAUGUGUCGUGCCCAUUGGUAACUCAAAUGAAAUAACAAUCACAAUCAUGAAAUCAUAAUUAACUCAAGAUUAAGAUUACAGUAAAAUCAACGCCUAUGAGAUUUAAUAAGUCUGACAGUUAUUACAAAGUUAAUUAAAUCUCAUAUGUGAUCCUGUUCAAUGUAGUCGUACUACAUCAAUAAAUUCAUACAUGAUUAAGACAAAUCAUUCAAUGAAUUUAUUACAGUCUAUACCUAAAUAAAGUGCCCAACUUUAUUUAUCAACUGCGAACUAAAUUUAUUUAAUCAUAAGAUAACUUGUAUUUAUGUCUUCUGUGAAUCCACAUGGUGAUCACAUAAAUACAUAUAAUAUGAUUAAAUGGACUUUAAUACAAAUAUUAAUGCAAUUAAGAUAUUUGAAUAAAAUACCUCAUUUAUUUUAUUAAUCAGAAAAAUUGUUUAUUACAAUUAAAUAAACACAUAUGCUUUUAAAGAGCAUAUUUUCCCAACAAUCUCCCACUAGCUCUCAAAGCAUAUCUGGCAUAUUGCACAUGCUCUAGGGCUCUAAGUGCAGGUUAUAAAGGUUUCCCACUAAUGGCCAUUGUAAUAAGAUCUGCCAUUUAGCAUCUAAUGCCAUUUGGGGUACUGUCAUAUAACCUUUCUACACUAUUCCCUUAUAAGAUGAUACUUCCUUUCAAUAUGUUUUGUUUCUUGUGGUUCCUUGGUUCCUUAGAUUGAGCUACCGCACCACCAUUAUCACAAAAUAGUUUAAGGGGUGCAGUUACAACAGGUACCACCUCAAGAUUUCGUAGGAACUUGCAGAGCCAUAUAGCUUCUUUUGCAGCUUCAGAUGUAGCCACAUAUUCAGCUUUAGUUGUUGAGUCUGUGAUACAAGAUUGUUUCACACUCAUCCAACUAGUAGCUCCACUUCCCAAUGUAAACACAUAGCCGGAAGUUGAUUUUCUAAAAUCCUUAUCUGACAAAAAAUCAGAAUUAGUAUAACCCACUAGAAUAAGUUCAUCACCAGAAUACACAAGCAUAUAAUUUUAAGUUCUUUUCAGAUACUUCAUUAUAUGCUUGACCGCAGUCCAGUGUUCAGGUCCAGGAUUAGAUUGAUAUCUACUAACCAUCCCUACCGCAAAACAGAUGUCUGGCCUAGUGCAAAACAUGGCAUACAUGAGACUUCCCACAGCUGUUGCAUAGGGAACUCGUCUCAUUCUCUCUAUCUCUUCAGAUGUUUUAGGUGAUUGAUCCUUAGAGAAUGUAAUUCCAUGUCUGAAUGGUAAUAAACCAGUCUUGGAAUUUUCCAUACUAAAUCUAGCCAAUAUCUUAUCGAUAUAGACCGCUUGAGACAAGGCUAAAGUUUUAUUCUUCCGGUCUCAUAGUAACUUGAUACCAAGAAUAUAACUUGUCUCUCCCAGGUCUUUCAUAUCAAAUUGUUUUGCUAACCAAAUCUUUAUUGUAGUCAAUACUCCUAUAUCGUUUCCAAUCAGGAGAAUAUUGUCUACACAAAGAACUAGGAAGGCUACAAAUUUUCCCUGAAUUUUCUUGUACACACAUGGUUCAUCAAUGUUCUGAAUGAAUCCAAGUGAUUUAAUCGCUUGAUCAAAUCUGAUGUUCCAUGACUGGGAUGCUUGCUUCAAUCCAUAAAUAGAUCUCUGCAACUUACAUACCAUGUGUUCUUGGCCUUUUUUGUAUAAAUCCAUCUGGUUGCUGUAUGUAGAUGUUUUCUUCAAGAUGCCUGUUAAGAAAGGCAGUCUUGACAUCCAUUUGCCAAAUUUCAUAAUCUAGCACUGCAGCAAUGGAGAGCAGAAUCCUGAUGGAUUUAAGCAUAGCAACCGGAGAAAAGGUUUCCUCAUAAUUGAUUCCUUCUUUCUGAGUAAACCCUUCGGCUACUAAUCUUGCUUUAAAUGUUUCCACCCUUCCGUCUACUCCUCUUUUUCUCUUGUAGAUCCACUUGCACCCUAUAGGUUUUACCCCAUUUGGUGCCUCUACAAGUUCCCAGACUUUAUUGGAAUACAUAGAUUCCAUUUCUUGAUUCAUGGCCUUUUUCAAAAUUCAUCAUCUCUAUCUAUUAGAGCUUCAUUGUAACUAGUGGGAUCUUGUACAUGUUCAUCUAAGAUAGCCUUAUAGGUUUCUCCCAAAAACAUGUAUCUUGCAGGUAACCUAGUUACCCUCCCACUACGACGAGGUUCUAAAAGUGAUGAUUGUUCAAGGAUAAUCCUGUGCUGAUCAGCUGGUUGUUGCUGUUCUUCCUGUUCUAUAACAGGUGUUGAAAGCUGAGCAUCAACCUGAUCUCUUUUAUUUCUCUAGUUUUACCUUACUCUUAGGUUAUAAGUCAUUAUAUAGUCUUCCUCAAAGAAAGUAAAAAAUAUUUCUAUAAAUACAUUCCUAUCUUGAGGACUAUAAUUCAGACUUUCCCUUAUUCCUUUAAGAUACCUAAAACAUGCAAGCUUCUGAACACGAAUCCAUCUUCUCUAUCUCUGAUUCUAGUAGAAAUACUAGUAAACUCCAAAUACGAAUGUGUCUCAAACCAUGUUUGUGACUUUUUCAUAAUUUCUUGGAGUAGUGGACACCGAGAUAGAUGAAACUAAGUUCAAUAAACUUUGUAGUUUCAAAUACUAGUAUCUGGAAUCAAAAAGGUAAAUGAUAAACCACUUAGUAUAUAUCUUGUCUUAUCCAAAAGAAUCUUGUUUCUCCAUUUAAUUACACUAUUGUAUCAUAGUGUUCAUUGACAACCAAAUAGUGCUUGAAUUCUCCAUAGAGAUAUUCUUUGUUUCGAUCAUAUCGAAAUUCUUUUAUGUUCCUGUCUAAUUGCUUCUGUCUUAUUCACGUACUCUUUUGAAUUUCAAAAGCAAUGGAAUCAUGACUCAUUUAGACAAACAUAAAAUGAAUAUUCAUCAACUAGAUUGAUAGAAUACUCAUAACCUCUUAUAACAUGUAAACUGAUUAGUCCGUAUACAUUUGUAUGCGCUAAAUCAUCAAAUACAAUGUUAUGCUUUUAGCUCAUAAAGAGUAUCCUUGUCAUAUUACUUUUCUAAAUAAGAUUUAUAGAGUUACAAUGAUCAAUCUUAAUAGGCCAACAAGUCUAUCAUUAAUCAUUUUCUUAAAAUCUUAUUAUAGUUUAUAUGACUUAAGCAUAACUAUCAGAGGUGAUUUUUGGUUAGAAGAAACAUUUCUUUUCUUAGAUAAAUGCAUAUACUUUUAAUCAUUAUAUCUUACUUUGAAUAGAUCAAUGUACUUUUAUGAUAUAAAUUGUCUUUAUAAAUAACCAAAAUAAGUAAUAAACAGAGGAUCCAAAAAUAACAGUGUACUCCUGUUUAUUAAAACAAGCCACUGAAAUUAAAUUCCUCUAAUAUUUGGAAAAAUAAAGACAAAUAUCAAAACUAAAGUCUUGUAAAAUUGAUCUAGUCUUUCAAUUGAUAUAAACUAGCACAUCCUCAACUGCUAUUUGAAGCUUUCUUCACUUAAUCUCUUGGUUUCCUGAAAACCAAAUAAAUGAAUUACAAAUAAGAUUAGUUAUCUCAGAAUUCAUUAUUGUAUGAAUCAAUAGAAAUCUGAACUAAUUAGGAAGCUUAAAGAUUUCCUAUACCUGAUUUUAAUAAUCUUAGGACAAUCUUUCUUCCAGUGACCCUUCUGUCCACAUUUGUAACACUUGCCUUUUGGCUUGCCACUUCUUUUAAUGGACAGUUUGCCGAUCCCAACUCUUGCUUGCUCAUUCUUGUCUUUUGACUUAAGCCUUGAAGAGAAUCCUUUUUCAGGAAGUUUUCUGCUAUGAUAAAAUUCUUCUAUAGCAUGUAGUUCGUGCAUUAAUUCAAUUAAGGUCAUAUCUUUAUUGUUUAAGAUAUAGCUGACCUUAAACUCUUUGAAUGUAUCAGGUAAAGAUUCAAUCACCAUGUUAAUCUUUGAUUUAUCACCAUGAAUCUCUACCUCAUUCAAAUAGUCCAUCAUUUUGAGGACAUGAUCACGAACUUUUGUGCCCUCUUCCAUCUGAGUAUCUGAGUAUCCGUAAUACGUUUUAAUGCUGCUUCUCUGGCAAAAUGGGUAUUUUGCCCAAACAUCUGAUGAAGACUAGCCAUUAUUUCAGUGGCUGUUUCCAUGCUCCGAUGUUUCUUAUGCAGUUCCACAGAAAUCGAAGCCAAUAUAUAGCGCUUAGCCAUUUUGUUAGCUUCGCACCAUUUCUCAUAAGGCUCCCUCUGAUUUCUAUAAUCGUAUAACGAUGGUUCAGGAGGGCAAGGCUGGGUCAACACAUAUUUGCUUCCCUUAGCAGUGAGAAUAUUAAAUAGAUUGCGUUUCCAAUCUAAAUAAUUUUCGCCAGUGAGUUCAUUUUUAACAAGGAUAAAUAAUAAUGGGUUGAUGGAAGACAUUUUCUGAAAAAAAAAAAUACACAUGCAUAAAUACUUUGAAACAAUAUUCACAAUAAAUGACAAAAAUGCAAAAAACCAUAAAUGCAUUUUAAUUUAUUGUAACGAUAAUCUAGUACCGCUUUGACAAGCUAUCCGUUGGGGAAGUCAUGUCUACACUUACUAGACCCAAUUAUCCAUUGGAUUAUUUACUUUCAUGUAGAGACAUGAUAAAUAAUUAUCGUUAUCCCUUUGGACCUAAAUUUGUUAACAGAGCUUCGUUGGGAAGGUUAAUAACAAAUUUUAGUUGAGUGUAUAACCAUUGUUUCAAUCUACGUAUUUUUCAUAUCAAUAGUCACCGUUGGGGUGAACAAUCGAUUGAAAAAUAUUUCAAUUUUAUCUUUGAAGAAGUUCAUCAAAUAAAAUAUCUAAUAUAUAUACCCUCCGAAGGGAGCAUCACCGUAUCAUGAAGUCGAGGUAUAUAUAUAAUUUUAUUAUUGAACUAACAAUGGAGCCCGUGGGAAAAUUAUCUUGAAUUUUCCCUCUCCCACUCAAUAUUUUAAAAUUGGUUUUUCCUUUUUAAAACAUACAUAUUGUUAAUUGCAUGCUUCCUAUAAUAUUAUCUAGAUGAUAUCAAAUAUUAUUAAGCAUACGCAAAUUUCAAACAAUAUAAUGAAAUUCAUUAUUAAUGAAUGACAUGUAUCAUUAUGCAUAGAGUGGCACUACCUAUUCUAUAUGACAUGUUAUCAUGGCAUGUUAUCAUCCAAAACAUAACAUAUAGAAAAACAAUUAAAUAAUCUUAAUUCAUGGCUUUCCUAAUAAUGAAAAAUACAUUAACCCUAAGCCUAAUCUUCAUUGGGCUUCUUGUCAAUGUCCAUCUUCCAUAAUCUUGUCUUUGUUAAUGGACUAGGGGAAAUUGGGCUUUUAAAUUUAUAAUUGGUCCAAUUUUUAAUUUUAAAAAGAAAUAAAUAAAUAAAUAAAUAAUUUUAUUAAAAUAAAACUUUUGGACCAAAAAUAGAUUUAAUGUGUUCAAUUUUAUCUAUGCAUUAUAAUCCAUUAAACCCAAUUGAAAUUGGGCCUAAAGCUAGGAUUCACAAAGCCCAAAACUGUUUUUGGACUUAAAUGCAAAAAACUUAAACGUGUCUACCCAAAAGAAAAAAUUAUGGAGCCAUAGGGACCUCAAUGAUAAAAACCAUGAAACCCUAAAUCCAUAUUUUUCUUUCUCUCUUCCCCAGCCGCCAUCUCCAAAAACCUCCACCACUGUUCAGAUGCCAGCCGACCUCCGACGCAUCUCCGACAUCGAACCACCUGCCACCGCGUCGCCGGAAACGCAUCAAACUCGCGCGCGCUGCUGGCCACGCUGGCCCCGCGCGCUGUUUGCUGCGCGAGCAGCCUGUGCCAUCGCGUGCUGCGCGCACAAGCCACGCUUCCCGCGCGCGCUGGCUGCUGCGCGCUGCUGCUGCGUGCACGCUUGCGUUGCAGCGCGCGCUGCUGGCAGCAUGUGCUGCUGGCCGCGCGCUGCUCGCGCAGCAGCGUGUGCUGCUGGCCCCUCGUUGCUGAAAUUUCCGGCCUCGAUUGUUUGCGCUCGUUUUCCAGUGAUGAUGCUUCGGUGAUUUNNNNNNNNNNNNNNNNNNNNNNNNNNNNNNNNNNNNNNNNNNNNNNNNNNNNNNNNNNNNNNNNNNNNNNNNNNNNNNNNNNNNNNNNNNNNNNNNNNNNNNNNNNNNNNNNNNNNNNNNNNNNNNNNNNNNNNNNNNNAAGACAAACCAAAACAUGCUUUAUUCAUAUAUUAAACAAUUAAUAUAUAUCUGAAUAAAUUGUGCCACUCUAAUACAUAAAUUUCAAGAAUGAUUUCAUACGAAAUUCUUAUAUAUUAAUAUGAGAUGGCUCUGAUACCAAUUGUUGGGGAAAAAUCAGGUUUUUAAAUUUUUAUAAAACCUUUUGAAGAUCGCUCUCAUAUAAUAUAUAGAAUUCGUAUUCUAGAAAUCGUACCUUGUAAAUCUGAGUUUGCUUUUUCCGCUGAAGUGAUUUAGGCUCCUAGAUCACGAUCCGCCACCACCACUCCUGUUAGAUCACGAUCCGUCACCACCACGCUUGUUAGAUCACGAACUGUCUCCAAUGAUCUUCCAGGUUAUGACUCAGGUUCGAUCUGCACUUGACGUGUGGGCGCCUUUAUCACUACCAAAGCAACUAGCACGAGAAAAUUUUUCUCUCAAUAAUGGAGAGAAAAAUCUUAUUCUCUGAUUUGUAUAAAGUGGCUUCUCCCUCUCCUUUUUGGGAAAAUAAGCCUUAUAUAUCUCCCUUUAGUGAAAACCCUAGGCUCCAAGGAUUCCCCCAAAAUAAAACUCACGUUACUUUUCAUUUAAUAGGGGACCCACCAUGUAAAAUAACAUAAGGCCCCUUACACAUAAGCUUAUUAAAUGGAGCCUCCCACUAAAUGAUAUAUUUAGGCUUUUGACCCAAAUAGCUAGUUAUCUUGCUUAUUAGUCCAGCAGUGGUGCAAUCAAUUAAAUGAGCUAACCCGGGGAUCAUUUGGGAACAUACAAUAGUGGCUACAAUAAUUAGGCCUGUAAUUAAACUAGCCCAAUUAUUUAAUUCCAAAUCUACUCCACUAAAAGAUUGGAACUGACUUCCAUAAUUGUAUGCUCGAAUAAUAAUUCGUCCCAAGCCACAUUGAUUUCUUUACUGCACAAUCCUUUGUACCACAUCGUUAAUUAAAUUGAUAUCUCAACUGUCCAAUCAAUUUAAUAACAUCUUAUUCCUUGAUCCUUACUGGUUUUCUCUAAUGAUCAUUUUCAACAUACUAAAUAUGUUGACACACUCUGGCCAGAGAAUUCUAUGAUCAAGUACCGAAAACCUAUCAAGAGAUGUGUUGUACAAAUUCUAUAUUGUUAAUCCAUAACUCCAAUACUCAUAAUUGCUCCCACCAAGAUACCGGGUAAUCUUGACCACAAGGAUGUGUCGUGCCCAUUGGUAACUCAAAUGAAAUAACAAUCACAAUCAUGAAAUCAUAAUUAACUCAAGAUUAAGAUUACAGUAAAAUCAACGCCUAUGAGAUUUAAUAAGUCUGACAGUUAUUACAAAGUUAAUUAAAUUUCAUAUGUGAUCCUGUUCAAUGUAGUCGUACUACAUCAAUAAAUUCAUACAUGAUUAAGACAAAUCAUUCAAUGAAUUUAUUACAGUCUAUACCUAAAUAAAGUGCCCAACUUUAUUUAUCAACUGCGAACUAAAUUUAUUUAAUCAUAAGAUAACUUGUAUUUAUGUCUUCUGUGAAUCCACAUGGUGAUCACAUAAAUACAUAUAAUAUGAUUAAAUGGACUUUAAUACAAAUAUUAAUGCAAUUAAGAUAUUUGAAUAAAAUACCUCAUUUAUUUUAUUAAUCAGAAAAUUGUUUAUUACAAUUAAAUAAACACAUAUGCUUUUAAAGAGCAUAUUUUCCCAACAGUAAAGAGUGGGGUUUCUUUCAGGUACAUAAUAAUUGAGCAGUGAUAUUCAUAUAAUGAAAAUACUUAAUUGAUUGCAAAUCAUUGCUUUGGUUAGCGUUUUUUCAGGUCUCAGUGUUUUUACAUUUUCCAUAAAAAUCAUUUUACUUCCUGAGCUUUAAGUUUCCUAUAUGAACCAUGCAUGUAAAGACUGGGGUUUCUUUCAGGUACAUAACAAUUUAGCAGUGAUAUUCAGAUAAUAAAAAUUAGACAAAACGUUUACAAAAAACAAAGUAAAUCAGUACCGGAUUAGUCACUUGAUUGUAAACCCAUUAAACAGACUAAUUUAUCGUUGUUUUUGUCAGCAUUUUAUCAGCUCUCCGUUUCUUUAGCAUUUUCCAUAAAAAUCAUUUUGUUUCCAGAACUUCAAAAUUUCCUUUAUGAACCAUGUAUAUAUGGAAAGAACAUCUUGCUUUAAUUUGCAUAUAUGCGGUUGAUGAAUCAUGGAGUGAGCAGUUCAUUGGUGGAGAAAGUGAAAGCAGAGAUUCAAGAAUUCUUUAAUCUUCCAAUUGAUGAGAAAAAGAAGUUUUGGCAGCAGCCAGGAGAUGUUGAGGGAUUUGGGCAGCUUUUUAUUACGUCUGAAGAGCAGAAGCUUGAUUGGGGAUACGGCUUUACUAUGUUCACUCUCCCAACCCAUCUGAGGAAACCCCACUUGUUCCCCAAGUUGCCUCUUCCAUUCAGGUUCUAUACUUAAAUUUUAGACUUUUCUUAUAUAGUAUAUUCUAUCUUAUGAUAAUUACUGGACUAUAUAUUAUUAUUUGCAUGCGGAGAUGACUUGGAAGUUUACUUAACGGAACUUAAAAAUCUUACCUUGAAAAUCCUUGACCUAAUGGCUAAAGCUCUAAGAAUGGAUCCCAAUGACAUG